RNAcentral lists this ribosomal RNA (697 nucleotides) under uncultured Staphylococcus sp. Its description in RNAcentral is "bacterial SSU rRNA". It matches the Rfam family "Bacterial small subunit ribosomal RNA", at positions 62 to 741 of the family's 1533-position model. The record is from RNAcentral. Lineage: Bacteria; Bacillati; Bacillota; Bacilli; Caryophanales; Staphylococcaceae.
UCGAGCGAACGGACGAGAAGCUUGCUUCUCUGAUGUUAGCGGCGGACGGGUGAGUAACACGUGGAUAACCUACCUAUAAGACUGGGAUAACUUCGGGAAACCGGAGCUAAUACCGGAUAAUAUUUUGAACCGCAUGGUUCAAAAGUGAAAGACGGUCUUGCUGUCACUUAUAGAUGGAUCCGCGCUGCAUUAGCUAGUUGGUAAGGUAACGGCUUACCAAGGCAACGAUGCAUAGCCGACCUGAGAGGGUGAUCGGCCACACUGGAACUGAGACACGGUCCAGACUCCUACGGGAGGCAGCAGUAGGGAAUCUUCCGCAAUGGGCGAAAGCCUGACGGAGCAACGCCGCGUGAGUGAUGAAGGUCUUCGGAUCGUAAAACUCUGUUAUUAGGGAAGAACAUAUGUGUAAGUAACUGUGCACAUCUUGACGGUACCUAAUCAGAAAGCCACGGCUAACUACGUGCCAGCAGCCGCGGUAAUACGUAGGUGGCAAGCGUUAUCCGGAAUUAUUGGGCGUAAAGCGCGCGUAGGCGGUUUUUUAAGUCUGAUAUGAAAGCCCACGGCUCAACCGUGGAGGGUCAUUGGAAACUGGAAAACUUGAGUGCAGAAGAGGAAAGUGGAAUUCCAUGUGUAGCGGUGAAAUGCGCAGAGAUAUGGAGGUACACCAGUGGCGAAGGCGACUUUCUGGUCUGUAACU